GGGAGUGUAGCUCAAUGGAUAGAGUACCGCGCUUCGGACGCGGAGGUUGUGGGUUCGAGUCCUACCACUCUCG
RNAcentral lists this transfer RNA (73 nucleotides) under Oscillatoriales cyanobacterium. Its description in RNAcentral is "tRNA-Arg". It matches the Rfam family "tRNA". From Rfam's summary of the family: Transfer RNA (tRNA) molecules are approximately 80 nucleotides in length. The record is from RNAcentral. Lineage: Bacteria; Bacillati; Cyanobacteriota; Cyanophyceae; Oscillatoriales. RNAcentral also lists the same sequence under 6 other names.